AUGUCCGCUGGCUGACCCGAGUGAG
RNAcentral lists this non-coding RNA (25 nucleotides) under Cricetulus griseus (Chinese hamster). The record is from RNAcentral. Lineage: Eukaryota; Metazoa; Chordata; Mammalia; Rodentia; Cricetidae.